Molecule: long non-coding RNA, 480 nt
Filed under: Triticum aestivum (bread wheat)
Lineage: Eukaryota; Viridiplantae; Streptophyta; Magnoliopsida; Poales; Poaceae
Description: long non-coding RNA (TAES_LNC010622)
Source: RNAcentral
CCAUGUGUAAAAACUAAUGAUAUCUCGAGAAAGAGAAGAGAUAGGGUGAGGAGGAGUGUAAAAACCCAUGCGGCCACCAUGCCAGAUUGUUCCAGAGGUUUCCUUUUUUAAUUGCUCAACAAUGAGGUUGUGGGAGAUAAGGAUGAACAAGGGAAGGCCUUAUCUGCAAAUGUGGAGAGAGGUGCAGGUAUAUUUUUGCAAAAUUGCCAUAGUUUUCUUUCUAUCCGUCAAAUAUAGAUCAAACGGUCUAUCUUGCAAGAUGGCAGGCACACCAUCAUCACCAACUCGGUUUUUUAUAAGAGUAGAGAAACAAUGAGGUUGUGGAAGAUAAGGAUGAACAAGGGAAGGCCUUAUCUGCAAAUGUGGAGAGAGGUGCGGGUAUCUUUUUGCAAAAUUGCCAUAGUUUGCUUUCUAUCCGUCAGAUAUAGAUCAAACGGUCUAUCUUGCAAGAUGGCAGGCACACCAUCAUCACCAACUCGG